UGAAUCCGGAUCUUCAACGGGUUA
Molecule: small nuclear RNA, 24 nt
Filed under: Arabidopsis thaliana (thale cress)
Lineage: Eukaryota; Viridiplantae; Streptophyta; Magnoliopsida; Brassicales; Brassicaceae
Description: snRNA_01420
Source: RNAcentral